RNAcentral lists this ribosomal RNA (692 nucleotides) under uncultured bacterium. RNAcentral describes it as "bacterial SSU rRNA". It matches the Rfam family "Bacterial small subunit ribosomal RNA", at positions 8 to 683 of the family's 1533-position model. The record is from RNAcentral.
AGAGUUUGAUUCUGGCUCAGGACGAACGCUGGCGGCGUGCCUAAUACAUGCAAGUAGAACGCUGAAGAGAGGAGCUUGCUCUUCUUGGAUGAGUUGCGAACGGGUGAGUAACGCGUAGGUAACCUGCCUUGUAGCGGGGGAUAACUAUUGGAAACGAUAGCUAAUACCGCAUAACAAUGGAUGACUCAUGUCAUUUAUUUGAAAGGGGCAAAUGCUCCACUACAAGAUGGACCUGCGUUGUAUUAGCUAGUAGGUGAGGUAACGGCUCACCUAGGCGACGAUACAUAGCCGACCUGAGAGGGUGAUCGGCCACACUGGGACUGAGACACGGCCCAGACUCCUACGGGAGGCAGCAGUAGGGAAUCUUCGGCAAUGGGGGCAACCCUGACCGAGCAACGCCGCGUGAGUGAAGAAGGUUUUCGGAUCGUAAAGCUCUGUUGUAAGUCAAGAACGAGUGUGAGAGUGGAAAGUUCACACUGUGACGGUAGCUUACCAGAAAGGGACGGCUAACUACGUGCCAGCAGCCGCGGUAAUACGUAGGUCCCGAGCGUUGUCCGGAUUUAUUGGGCGUAAAGCGAGCGCAGGCGGUUUGAUAAGUCUGAAGUUAAAGGCUGUGGCUCAACCAUAGUUCGCUUUGGAAACUGUCAAACUUGAGUGCAGAAGGGGAGAGUGGAAUUCCAUGUGUAGCGGUG